AUCUUUUCUUCAAAAGAAAAAAAAAUCUGUUCUUAUCAGUUUAAUAUCUGAUAAAUUCCCAACCCAACCUUAUAUUAAAUAGAUUUUUGCAACUGGGAGAUGGAAUAGGGGCUUGCUGUGUCCGCUCGUCCUGGUAUUGCAGGACGAGCGGACUCCAU
RNAcentral lists this small nuclear RNA (158 nucleotides) under Fundulus heteroclitus (mummichog). RNAcentral describes it as "U2 spliceosomal RNA (ENSFHEG00000021272.1)". It matches the Rfam family "U2 spliceosomal RNA". From Rfam's summary of the family: U2 is a small nuclear RNA (snRNA) component of the spliceosome (involved in pre-mRNA splicing). Complementary binding between U2 snRNA (in an area lying towards the 5' end but 3' to hairpin I) and the branchpoint sequence (BPS) of the intron results the bulging out of an unpaired adenosine, on the BPS, which initiates a nucleophilic attack at the intronic 5' splice site, thus starting the first of two transesterification reactions that mediate splicing. Lineage: Eukaryota; Metazoa; Chordata; Actinopteri; Cyprinodontiformes; Fundulidae. The record is from RNAcentral.